UGGGGAAUAUUGGACAAUGGGGGCAACCCUGAUCCAGCCAUGCCGCGUGAGUGAUGAAGGCCUUCGGGUUGUAAAGCUCUUUUGGCGGGGACGAUGAUGACGGUACCCGCAGAAUAAGCCCCGGCUAACUUCGUGCCAGCAGCCGCGGUAAGACGAAGGGGGCUAGCGUUGUUCGGAAUUACUGGGCGUAAAGCGAGUGUAGGCGGUUGCCGUAGUCAGGUGUGAAAGCCUUGAGCUCAACUCAAGAAAUGCACUUGAUACUGGGUGACUAGAGGACCGGAGAGGAUAGUGGAAUUCCCAGUGUAGUGGUGAAAUACGUAGAGAUUGGGAAGAACACCAGUGGCGAAGGCGGCUAUCUGGACGGUUACUGACGCUAAGACUCGAAAGCGUGGGGAGCAAACAGGAUUAGAUACCCUGGUAGUCCACGCCGUAAACGAUGGGUGCUAGACGUUGGCGAGCUUGCUCGUCAGUGUCGCAGCUAACGCGUUAAGCACCCCGCCUGGGGAGUACGGCCCGCAAGGGUUGAAACUCAAAAGGAAUUGACGGGGUCAUAGCUGUUUCCU
Molecule: ribosomal RNA, 563 nt
Filed under: uncultured bacterium
Lineage: Bacteria
Description: partial 16S ribosomal RNA
Rfam family: Bacterial small subunit ribosomal RNA
Source: RNAcentral